Molecule: unclassified non-coding RNA, 253 nt
Filed under: uncultured Myxococcales bacterium
Lineage: Bacteria; Pseudomonadati; Myxococcota; Myxococcia; Myxococcales
Description: contains 16S-23S intergenic spacer region
Rfam family: Bacterial small subunit ribosomal RNA
Source: RNAcentral
UACGGAGGGUGCAAACGUUGCUCGGAAUCAUUGGGCGUAAAGCGUGUGUAGGCGGCCUGUUAAGUCGGGUGUGAAAGCCCUCGGCUCAACCGAGGAAGUGCAUUCGAUACUGGCAGGCUCGAGUACGGGAGAGGGUAGCGGAAUUCCCGGUGUAGAGGUGAAAUUCGUAGAUAUCGGGAGGAACACCAGUGGCGCAGGCGGCUACCUGGACUGAUACUGACACUCAGGUGCGAAAGCGUGGGGAGCAAACAGG